RNAcentral lists this non-coding RNA (355 nucleotides) under Sarcophilus harrisii (Tasmanian devil). Its description in RNAcentral is "Eukaryotic large subunit ribosomal RNA". It matches the Rfam family "Eukaryotic large subunit ribosomal RNA", at positions 2591 to 2991 of the family's 3401-position model. Lineage: Eukaryota; Metazoa; Chordata; Mammalia; Dasyuromorphia; Dasyuridae. The record is from Rfam by way of RNAcentral.
AAAAAGGACUCUUAGCACUGAACUGGGAGUUUGACCAGAAUAGCACACCUGUCAAACGCUAAGGCAGGUGUCCUAAAAUGAGUUCAGAAAACUCCCAUGGAGUAGUAAGGUAAAAACUCAUUUGCUAUUGAUCUUUUCAGUAUGAAAAUUGACUGUGAAAGCAAAGCCUCAUGAUCCUUCUGACUUUUGGGAUUUUAGGAAAGUGACCCCAGCCAGGGACAACUGACUUGUGAUGGUCAAGUAUGAUGAAAGCUCUUUUUCUUACUGGGAAGCAAAAUUCGCCAAGAGCUACAUGUUAGCCCACAAAUGGAUAAUGCGGGCUUGCAUCAGCCCAUUGGAGCCAUGUGAGUUUUAU